This 472-nucleotide ribosomal RNA is filed under the name uncultured bacterium. Its description in RNAcentral is "bacterial SSU rRNA". It matches the Rfam family "Bacterial small subunit ribosomal RNA", at positions 355 to 825 of the family's 1533-position model. The record is from RNAcentral.
UGGGGAAUAUUGGACAAUGGGCGAAAGCCUGAUCCAGCCAUGCCGCGUGUGUGAAGAAGGUCUUCGGAUUGUAAAGCACUUUAAGUUGGGAGGAAGGGUUGUAGAUUAAUACUCUGCAAUUUUGACGUUACCGACAGAAUAAGCACCGGCUAACUCUGUGCCAGCAGCCGCGGUAAUACAGAGGGUGCAAGCGUUAAUCGGACUUACUGGGCGUAAAGGGUGCGUAGGCGGAAGGAUAAGUUAGUUGUGAAAUCUCUGGGCUUAACCCAGAACGGCCAAGUGAUACUGUCGCGCUAGAGUGCAGAAGGGGCAAUCGGAAUUCUUGGUGUAGCGGUGAAAUGCGUAGAUAUCAAGAGGAACACCUGAGGUGAAGACGGGUUGCUGGGCUGACACUGACGCUGAGGCGCGAAAGCCAGGGGAGCAAACGGGAUUAGAUACCCCUGUAGUCCCUGAGCGGGCUGGCAAGGCGCAU